RNAcentral lists this unclassified non-coding RNA (459 nucleotides) under Harpegnathos saltator (Jerdon's jumping ant). RNAcentral's name for it is "uncharacterized LOC112588099, transcript variant X1". Lineage: Eukaryota; Metazoa; Arthropoda; Insecta; Hymenoptera; Formicidae. The record is from RNAcentral.
UUGCAAGUGGAAAAUGAAUUCUGCAACCGUAGAAGAAAAACUUGAAAUGAUUCUGAUUUAUGGUGAAUGUAGGAGGAAUGUUGACGAUGCUGUUGCCUUGUAUGCUGAGCGUUUUGCAGACAAUGUUCGCUCACGUUCUUUGUUUUACAAAGUUGUGACUGCCUUUAUCUCGGAUGGCAGCGUACAAACUAAAAAAAGAAAACGAAGAACAACUGUUACAGGAGAAGUUAAUGAAAUAGCUGUGCUAGCAGCUGUUCACCACAACCCACAGAUGAGUCUACAUUCACAAAUCAUGGUGGCGUUAAUCGACAUAACAUGCAUUACUGGAGUGUAGAAAAUCCCCACUGGUUAUGACAAGUUGAACAUCAACGUCCUUGGUCGGUUAACGUUUGGUGUGGAAUCAUAGGGAACAGACUCAUUGGUCCUUAUUUUAUUGAAGCAUGACGGUUGCCCAGCGCA